GGCCAUUCCGAGGGGUGCCCACCAUAAGCGUGGGCUGAGAUAGCGCGAGCUGACCCUUGAACCUGAUCCGGGUAAUACCGGCGUAGGAACGGGAAUCACCACCACG
RNAcentral lists this non-coding RNA (106 nucleotides) under Rhodanobacter fulvus. RNAcentral's name for it is "TPP sequence". It matches the Rfam family "TPP riboswitch aptamer (THI element)". Rfam says of the family: Vitamin B(1) in its active form thiamin pyrophosphate (TPP) is an essential coenzyme that is synthesised by coupling of pyrimidine and thiazole moieties in bacteria. The previously detected thiamin-regulatory element, thi box was extended, resulting in a new, highly conserved RNA secondary structure, the THI element, which is widely distributed in eubacteria and also occurs in some archaea. Analysis of operon structures identified a large number of new candidate thiamin-regulated genes, mostly transporters, in various prokaryotic organisms. The record is from RNAcentral. RNAcentral also lists the same sequence under 1 other name. Lineage: Bacteria; Pseudomonadati; Pseudomonadota; Gammaproteobacteria; Lysobacterales; Rhodanobacteraceae.